GACGAACGCUGGCGGCGUGCCUAAUACAUGCAAGUCGAACGCUUUUUCUUUCACCGGAGCUUGCUCCACCGAAAGGAAAAGAGUGGCGAACGGGUGAGUAACACGUGGGUAACCUGCCCAUCAGAAGGGGAUAACACUUGGAAACAGGUGCUAAUACCGUAUAAAACUAUUUUCCGCAUGGAAUAAAGUUGAAAGGCGCUUUUGCGUCACUGAUGGAUGGACCCGCGGUGCAUUAGCUAGUUGGUGAGGUAACGGCUCACCAAGGCAACGAUGCAUAGCCGACCUGAGAGGGUGAUCGGCCACACUGGGACUGAGACACGGCCCAGACUCCUACGGGAGGCAGCAGUAGGGAAUCUUCGGCAAUGGACGAAAGUCUGACCGAGCAACGCCGCGUGAGUGAAGAAGGUUUUCGGAUCGUAAAACUCUGUUGUUAGAGAAGAACAAGGAUGAGAGUAAAAUGUUCAUCCCUUGACGGUAUCUAACCAGAAAGCCACGGCUAACUACGUGCCAGCAGCCGCCGUAA
This 523-nucleotide ribosomal RNA is filed under the name uncultured bacterium. Its description in RNAcentral is "partial 16S ribosomal RNA". It matches the Rfam family "Bacterial small subunit ribosomal RNA", at positions 28 to 523 of the family's 1533-position model. The record is from RNAcentral.